This 494-nucleotide ribosomal RNA is filed under the name uncultured bacterium. RNAcentral describes it as "partial 16S ribosomal RNA". It matches the Rfam family "Bacterial small subunit ribosomal RNA", at positions 28 to 507 of the family's 1533-position model. The record is from RNAcentral.
GACGAACGCUGGCGGCGUGCUUAACACAUGCAAGUCGAACGGAAAGGCCUGCUUUCCCUUGUGGAUUGCGGGUACUCGAGUGGCGAACGGGUGAGUAACACGUGAGUGAUCUGCCCCCAACUUGGGUAUAAGCCUGGGAAACUGGGUCUAAUUCCCGAUAGGACUGCAGGGUGGUGCCUGUGGUGGAAAACGAUUUUCUAGUGGUUGGGGAUGAGCUCGCGGCCUAUCAGCUUGUUGGUGGGGUAAUGGCCUACCAAGGCGGCGACGGGUAGCCGGCCGGAGAGGGUGGACGGCCACAUUGGGACUGGGACACGGCCCAGACUCCUACGGGAGGCAGCAGUGGGGAAGAUUGCACAAUGGGCGGAAGCCUGAUGCAGCGACGCCGCGUGGGGGAUGACGGCCUUCGGGUUGUAAACUCCUUUCGACCGCGAGGAAGCCACCUGGUUGGAAGGGUGGUGACGGUAGUGGUAGAAGAAGCACCGGCUAACUACGUG